RNAcentral lists this ribosomal RNA (274 nucleotides) under uncultured bacterium. Its description in RNAcentral is "partial 16S ribosomal RNA". It matches the Rfam family "Bacterial small subunit ribosomal RNA", at positions 523 to 796 of the family's 1533-position model. The record is from RNAcentral.
AUACGGAGGGGGCUAGCGUUGUUCGGAAUUACUGGGCGUAAAGCGCACGUAGGCGGCGCACGCAGUCAGAGGUGAAAGGCCUGGGCUCAACCCAGGAACUGCCUUUGAUACUGGUGUGCUAGAGUCCGGGAGAGGGUAGCGGAAUUCCCAGUGUAGAGGUGAAAUUCGUAGAUAUUGGGAAGAACACCGGUUGCGAAGGCGGCUACCUGGACCGGUACUGACGCUGAGGUGCGAAAGCGUGGGGAGCAAACAGGAUUAGAAACCCCAGUAGUCC